UACGUAGGGUGCAAGCGUUGUCCGGAAUUAUUGGGCGUAAAGAGCUCGUAGGUGGCCUGUCGCGUCGGCUGUGAAAACUCGGGGCUCAACUCCGAGCUUGCAGUCGAUACGGGCAGGCUAGAGUUCGGCAGGGGAGACUGGAAUUCCUGGUGUAGCGGUGAAAUGCGCAGAUAUCAGGAGGAACACCGGUGGCGAAGGCGGGUCGCUGGGCCGAUACUGACACUGAGGAGCGAAAGCGUGGGGAGCGAACAGG
Molecule: ribosomal RNA, 253 nt
Filed under: uncultured bacterium
Lineage: Bacteria
Description: partial 16S ribosomal RNA
Rfam family: Bacterial small subunit ribosomal RNA
Source: RNAcentral